RNAcentral lists this unclassified non-coding RNA (291 nucleotides) under Hevea brasiliensis (rubber tree). Lineage: Eukaryota; Viridiplantae; Streptophyta; Magnoliopsida; Malpighiales; Euphorbiaceae. The record is from RNAcentral.
GUCAAAUCUGUUUCUCCACUCGUAAUUUCUGCUGGCUUGGAUGUCCGUACUUCUAUUUGUGAUGUUCUUGAUGCUGUCGCAGAGAAUGAUUCUUCUGUACAUCCUACGGCAAAUCUUCUUCGUGAAUUGAAUGCCACGUCUACUGUAGAGUUGGGAGAUCUUGAUUAUGAUACCGUGAUUGCUGCUUAUGAAAAGAUAAGUGCAGAUUUUUUCCACACUGUCCCGGAAGAGCAUGCCUUGAUUAUUCUGUCACAUGCUAUUCAUGAUAUGUCAUCCGGGGAUCUUAUUUUG